RNAcentral lists this unclassified non-coding RNA (500 nucleotides) under Artemisia molinieri. RNAcentral describes it as "partial external transcribed spacer". Lineage: Eukaryota; Viridiplantae; Streptophyta; Magnoliopsida; Asterales; Asteraceae. The record is from RNAcentral.
UGACUUUCCCAUCGUUCGGGGCAUUCUGGGGCUGUUUUGGCUGUUGGUUGCUUGUUUGGUCUUGAACCAAACGGGUGGCUUCUAGUCUGGUGGCUUCGGGGAUGCUGACCGUAAAGGUGGAUGAGUGGUGUUUGGUUUGUUACGUGUGGUUGGCUGCGGCGUUUGCAACAACUUCCAUGCUUUCAGACCUCUUCAGUUGUGCGGCAAGGCUUGUAUCGCCUUGAGCGUAUUGUGGGUUUUCUGUGUUGGCUACCUAAUCAACGGUAUCGGUUGGAUUGAUCAAAGUUUGAUUUCGUCUUCCGUCGCGUUCGCGGCGUGAGGUGAACCUUGAUGCGGUCUCUUUGAUCCACCUCGUCGAAGCACAUGCUUCGACGUUGUGGCGCAUUGAGCAUUGCUUGGUCUCUUGUAUACGGAACAUAUAGUGGGCAUGGAUCUAACGAUUCUUGUUUGCCCUCAUAUUAGCGUAACGCUUCUCUAACACGACUUGUGCCACGUUUUAG